AUUGAACGCUGGCGGCAGGCCUAACACAUGCAAGUCGAGCGGAUGAAGGGAGCUUGCUCCUGGAUUCAGCGGCGGACGGGUGAGUAAUGCCUAGGAAACUGCCUGGUAGUGGGGGAUAACGUCCGGAAACGGGCGCUAAUACCGCAUACGUCCUGAGGGAGAAAGUGGGGGAUCUUCGGACCUCACGCUAUCAGAUGAGCCUAGGUCGUAUUAGCUAGUUGGUGGGGUAAAGGCCUACCAAGGCGACGGUCCGUAACUGGUCUGAGAGGAUGAUCAGUCACACUGGAACUGUGACACGGUCCACACUCCUACGGGAGGCCGCAGUGGGGAAUAUUGGACAAUGCGCGAAAGCCUGAUCCAGCCAUGCCGCGUGUGUGAAGAAGGUCUUCGGAUUGUAAAGCACUUUAAGUUGGGAGGAAGGGCAGUAAGUUAAUACCUUGCUGUUUUGACGUUACCAACAGAAUAAGCACCGGCUAACUUCGUG
Molecule: ribosomal RNA, 484 nt
Filed under: uncultured bacterium
Lineage: Bacteria
Description: partial 16S ribosomal RNA
Rfam family: Bacterial small subunit ribosomal RNA
Source: RNAcentral